GGAGUUCCAAAAGGGAGCUCUGCUUUUAUUCCCAUGGCUGGGAGCAACUAGCUAGCAGAUUCUUGGGGUCCAAAAGGAAGUCAGCCCUACAGUAUAAAGGACCAAUCUCCAAGUCAUUUACUUAUGUGUCAGGAUAAAAAUAUGAUUACAUAGAUGAGGAAUCGUCGGGUUAACAGUACCUCGAGAUGUGUUUUGAUCCAGCCACAUACUCAAAAGGAAACGCUCAGAAACAGCAAUUGUCGCCACAAAUGAAGAAUGUUCACGUUUGUUUUACAACUUCUUAAUGCACCGCAUUCAGUCUUCCUGUAAACUUGACUGCUUAGUCCUUAAAGUAUAUUGGUGGAGCAAUGUCUGCAUGCCUUCGUCAACACAUCUAUUGGCCUGUUUGUCCCAGCAUCCCAGUUGGAAUGGGAACCCUUCUAAGAAAAGCCUUUAUCCUUUACUCACCUACAAACUCACUGGGCACCCCCGGAAUUGUGGUCCUGGGCGUAUAGCAGGUGUCUAGUCACUCUUUUCUGGUUGUGCCAGUAAUUGGGGCCUGAUUACAAUUCUGUUUCAUCCAGUGCACCUCAAUGGAGAGAAACCAGCAAGAAACUCAUGCUUUCUGCCCCAUCUCCUUCCUUUCUUCUGUGUGUAAAGUGGAGAAAAGGCUGGAGAGUGUGGUAAGAUAGGAAGAAACCAAGCAAAGCACACAUAAACAAACAAAUGAAUAAAUAAAAGGGAAAAA
Molecule: long non-coding RNA, 727 nt
Filed under: Homo sapiens (human)
Lineage: Eukaryota; Metazoa; Chordata; Mammalia; Primates; Hominidae
Description: long intergenic non-protein coding RNA 1713
Source: RNAcentral